Molecule: ribosomal RNA, 259 nt
Filed under: uncultured bacterium
Lineage: Bacteria
Description: partial 16S ribosomal RNA
Rfam family: Bacterial small subunit ribosomal RNA
Source: RNAcentral
UACGUAGGGUGCAAGCGUUGUCCGGAAUUAUUGGGCGUAAAGAGCUCUGUAUGGACGGGUCUGUCGCGAUUCGGAUGUGAAAACCCAGGGCUCAACCUGGCCCUGCAUUCGAUACGGGCAGACUAGAGUUCGGUAGGGGAGACUGGAAUUCCUGGUGUAGCGGUGAAAAUGCGCAGAUAUCAGGAGGAACACCGGUGGCGAAGGCGGGUCUCUGGGCCGAAACUGACGCUGAGGAGCGAAAGCGUGGGGAGCAAACAGG